GAGGGGAUAGCUCAGUGGUAGAGGGUGUGCUUAGCAUGCAGGAGGUCCUGGGUUCAAUCCCCAGUACCUCCA
RNAcentral lists this transfer RNA (72 nucleotides) under Camelus bactrianus (Bactrian camel). It matches the Rfam family "tRNA". From Rfam's summary of the family: Transfer RNA (tRNA) molecules are approximately 80 nucleotides in length. Their secondary structure includes four short double-helical elements and three loops (D, anti-codon, and T loops). Further hydrogen bonds mediate the characteristic L-shaped molecular structure. tRNAs have two regions of fundamental functional importance: the anti-codon, which is responsible for specific mRNA codon recognition, and the 3' end, to which the tRNAs corresponding amino acid is attached (by aminoacyl-tRNA synthetases). tRNAs cope with the degeneracy of the genetic code in two manners: having more than one tRNA (with a specific anti-codon) for a particular amino acid; and 'wobble' base-pairing, i.e. permitting non-standard base-pairing at the 3rd anti-codon position. The record is from Rfam by way of RNAcentral. Lineage: Eukaryota; Metazoa; Chordata; Mammalia; Artiodactyla; Camelidae. RNAcentral also lists the same sequence under 2 other names.